Providencia rettgeri Dmel1 is the source of this 109-nucleotide non-coding RNA. NCBI's taxonomy places the organism in Bacteria, Pseudomonadati, Pseudomonadota, Gammaproteobacteria, Enterobacterales, Morganellaceae. The record is from Rfam.
AACUCAAUUGUGUAAUAACACACACAAAUCGACACGUGCACCGGGGUGCUCUUAUGCGUUUUUUAACGCAGCUUUGGAGUCGGUAGCAUGGGAUUUGUGGAGGCAUAAC